Molecule: transfer RNA, 65 nt
Filed under: Staphylinidae sp. BMNH 1274665
Lineage: Eukaryota; Metazoa; Arthropoda; Insecta; Coleoptera; Staphylinidae
Description: tRNA-Arg
Source: RNAcentral
AAAUAGGAAACAAAUAAUUGUGUUUAGUUUCGACCUAAAAUUAUGGUAUAUCUUACCCUUAUUUA